This 440-nucleotide ribosomal RNA is filed under the name uncultured bacterium. RNAcentral describes it as "partial 16S ribosomal RNA". It matches the Rfam family "Bacterial small subunit ribosomal RNA", at positions 339 to 795 of the family's 1533-position model. The record is from RNAcentral.
CUACGGGUUGCUGCAGUGGAGAAUAUUGCACAAUGGAGGAAACUCUGAUGCAGCAACGCCGCGUGGAGGAUGACACUUUUCGGAGCGUAAACUCCUUUUAUAUAGGAAGAAGAUGACGGUACUAUAUGAAUAAGCGCCGGCGUAACUCCGUGCCAGCAGCCGCGGUAAUACGGAGGGCGCAAGCGUUACUCGGAAUCACUGGGCGUAAAGAGCGUGUAGGCGGAUUAAAAAGUCAGAAGUGAAAUCCUAUAGCUUAACUAUAGAACUGCUUCUGAAACUCUUAAUCUAGAAUAUGGGAGAGGUAGAUGGAAUUUCUGGUGUAGGGGUAAAAUCCGUAGAGAUCAGAAGGAAUACCGAUUGCGAAGGCGAUCUACUAGAACAUUAUUGACGCUGAGACGCGAAAGCGUGGGGAGCAAACAGGAUUAGAUACCCUGGUAGUC